Molecule: non-coding RNA, 252 nt
Filed under: Rossellomorea vietnamensis
Lineage: Bacteria; Bacillati; Bacillota; Bacilli; Caryophanales; Bacillaceae
Description: Bacillus vietnamensis T-box sequence
Rfam family: T-box leader
About the family: Uncharged tRNA acts as the effector for transcription antitermination of genes in the T-box leader family. T-boxes are found upstream of many aminoacyl-tRNA synthetase genes and some amino acid biosynthetic genes usually in Gram-positive bacteria. The anticodon of a specific tRNA base pairs to a specifier sequence within the T-box motif, and the NCCA acceptor tail of the tRNA base pairs to a conserved bulge in the T-box antiterminator hairpin.
Source: RNAcentral
AAAAAUGCCAUGAAGAGAAGAGUAUAUAUCCCGAUUUCUUUAAAGAGAGCCCUGGAAGCUGAAAAGGGGCAGGAAGGACGGUAUUGAACCAAGGCUCUGAGCAGCGCAUCGGAACCGGGAACGGGGAUGGUGUGACGGGAGCUCCCGUUAAGGAGCUAGGGUAUAAGCCGAAUUGGCCGUACCCGAAAAGGCCGGUAUGGUGACAUGCUGGCGAACUGGGGUGGCACCGCGAUCUAUAAUCUCGCCCCCAAG